RNAcentral lists this ribosomal RNA (790 nucleotides) under Bacillus zhangzhouensis. Its description in RNAcentral is "bacterial SSU rRNA". It matches the Rfam family "Bacterial small subunit ribosomal RNA", at positions 88 to 863 of the family's 1533-position model. Lineage: Bacteria; Bacillati; Bacillota; Bacilli; Caryophanales; Bacillaceae. The record is from RNAcentral.
GAUGUUAGCGGCGGACGGGUGAGUAACACGUGGGUAACCUGCCUGUAAGACUGGGAUAACUCCGGGAAACCGGAGCUAAUACCGGAUAGUUCCUUGAACCGCAUGGUUCAAGGAUGAAAGACGGUUUCGGCUGUCACUUACAGAUGGACCCGCGGCGCAUUAGCUAGUUGGUGGGGUAAUGGCUCACCAAGGCGACGAUGCGUAGCCGACCUGAGAGGGUGAUCGGCCACACUGGGACUGAGACACGGCCCAGACUCCUACGGGAGGCAGCAGUAGGGAAUCUUCCGCAAUGGACGAAAGUCUGACGGAGCAACGCCGCGUGAGUGAUGAAGGUUUUCGGAUCGUAAAGCUCUGUUGUUAGGGAAGAACAAGUGCGAGAGUAACUGCUCGCACCUUGACGGUACCUAACCAGAAAGCCACGGCUAACUACGUGCCAGCAGCCGCGGUAAUACGUAGGUGGCAAGCGUUGUCCGGAAUUAUUGGGCGUAAAGGGCUCGCAGGCGGUUUCUUAAGUCUGAUGUGAAAGCCCCCGGCUCAACCGGGGAGGGUCAUUGGAAACUGGGAAACUUGAGUGCAGAAGAGGAGAGUGGAAUUCCACGUGUAGCGGUGAAAUGCGUAGAGAUGUGGAGGAACACCAGUGGCGAAGGCGACUCUCUGGUCUGUAACUGACGCUGAGGAGCGAAAGCGUGGGGAGCGAACAGGAUUAGAUACCCUGGUAGUCCACGCCGUAAACGAUGAGUGCUAAGUGUUAGGGGGUUUCCGCCCCUUAGUGCUGCAGCUAACGCAUUAA